GCAUCUUCGGAUGUGUAUAAAGUGGCGAACGGCUGAGUAACACGUGGGCAACCUGCCCUUUGCACUGGGAUAGCCUCGGGAAACCGAGGUUAAUACCGGAUACUCCAUAUUUGUCGCAUGGCGAAUAUGGGAAAGCUCCGGCGGCAAAGGAUGGGCCCGCGGCCUGUUAGCUAGUUGGUGGGGUAGUGGCCUACCAAGGCAAUGAUGGGUAGCCGGGUUGAGAGACCGACCGGCCAGAUUGGGACUGAGACACGGCCCAGACUCCUACGGGAGGCAGCAGUGGGGAAUCUUGCACAAUGGGCGAAAGCCUGAUGCAGCGACGCCGCGUGCGGGAUGAAGGCCUUCGGGUUGUAAACCGCUUUCAGCAGGGACGAGGCCGCAAGGUGACGGUACCUGCAGAAGAAGCCCCGGCUAACUACGUGCCAGCAGCCGCGGUAAUACGUAGGGGGCAAGCGUUAUCCGGAUUCAUUGGGCGUAAAGCGCGCGUAGGCGGUCUGUUAGGUCAGGAGUUAAAUCUGGGGGCUCAACCCCUAUCCGCUCCUGAUACCGGCAGGCUUGAGUCUGGUAGGGGAAGAUGGAAUUCCAAGUGUAGCGGUGAAAUGCGCAGAUAUUUGGAAGAACACCGGUGGCGAAGGCGGUCUUCUGGGCCAUGACUGACGC
Molecule: ribosomal RNA, 660 nt
Filed under: uncultured bacterium
Lineage: Bacteria
Description: bacterial SSU rRNA
Rfam family: Bacterial small subunit ribosomal RNA
Source: RNAcentral